CGGGCAUUAACAACGAAGAGAGAAAAUAGAAAUGACUAUUAAAGAAAGAAAAAACUAUGAUACUUAUCUGGUUUCUCAGUGCAGUAUUUAUCUCCAAACGCGAUGAGUGAAACAUUUUAUCAAACAUGUUUGGUGCACAAAUUUCUUCAUAAAUUAUUCAUUUCCAUUUUACAUGAAUAUGUCGAAGAGAUGAUUAUUAAAAAUUAGGAAAACAAAAAAUUAACAUAUUUUGAUUGAUACUCACGUAGAUGAAGCCAUGGUACUCACCUACAUUUUAAAAAUAAGAAGCAAUCAUUAACAAUGAAGAGAGAAAAUAGAAGUGAUCAUUAACAUUAAGGAAAGAAAAAGUUAUGAUACUUAUCUGGUUUCUUGGUGUAGUAUUUAUCUCUAAACGUAAUGAGUGAAGCAUUUUAUCAAACAGGUUUAUACAUAAAUUUCUUCAUAAAUUCUUCUUUUCCAUGUUACAUGAAUAUGCAGAAGAGAUGAUUAUUAAGAAUUAGGAAAACAUAAAAUAACAUAGUUUGAUUGAUACUUAUGUAGAUGAAAGUCAUGGUACUCACCUG
This 563-nucleotide long non-coding RNA is filed under the name Lupinus angustifolius (narrow-leaved blue lupine). RNAcentral's name for it is "long non-coding RNA (LANG_LNC003111)". The record is from RNAcentral. Lineage: Eukaryota; Viridiplantae; Streptophyta; Magnoliopsida; Fabales; Fabaceae.